UACGGAGGGUGCGAGCGUUGUCCGGAAUUCAUUGGGCGUAAAGGGCGCGUAGGCGGAUGGCACAGUCAGAUGUGAAAUUCCCGGGCUUAACCUGGGGGCUGCAUUUGAUACGUGUUGUCUUGAGUUCGGAAGAGGGUCGUGGAAUUCCCAGUGUAGAGGUGAAAUUCGUAGAUAUUGGGAAGAACACCGGUGGCGAAGGCGGCGACCUGGUCCGACACUGACGCUGAGGCGCGAAAGCGUGGGGAGCAAACAGGAUUGA
This 259-nucleotide ribosomal RNA is filed under the name uncultured bacterium. Its description in RNAcentral is "partial 16S ribosomal RNA". It matches the Rfam family "Bacterial small subunit ribosomal RNA", at positions 524 to 781 of the family's 1533-position model. The record is from RNAcentral.